AUGGUAAGCACCUUAGAGAUACCAGAAGAGAGGUAUAAGGUUUUUCCUGUAUUUAUUUAUGUAUUGGUGAAUCGUUAUGGGCUAAGAGUAGGCGUGCCGAGGAAGGCGGCAGAAGCGAGUGUGAAAGAGUUCUGUGCCACGUUGUCUGUGUUCUUUCUUGCAGUCAAGGCAGGCGAGGACGGAAGGAUAGCGCGAGUCAGCGCGACCUACAGCGAGGGAGUGAAGGAGAGGCCGCACAAGAGCAGGCCGGUCGAGCACAGUAGCGGAGCGUUCUGCAGCGGAGACGGGCGGGCACCGCGGCCCGGCUGUCGCGGCAUCCCCUCAUUGGAAGAGGUUCGAGCGGUCGGAGGAGCGGAGUCGGCACGGAGACGAUGCGUCGGCGUGGAGUCGGGAAUGAGAUGGACUGAGGAGGAGCUGAGUUCUGUAUCCUGAUGAAGAAAAAGACUUUGCUUUAAUACAAGCAACAAGAAACAUCUCUUUACAGUGACUCAAACUCUAUGCCUUAAGGGGUUUAGAGGAACUUCCCAGAAAAAAAG
RNAcentral lists this long non-coding RNA (536 nucleotides) under Coturnix japonica (Japanese quail). RNAcentral's name for it is "lncRNA (ENSCJPG00005018614.1)". Lineage: Eukaryota; Metazoa; Chordata; Aves; Galliformes; Phasianidae. The record is from RNAcentral.